This 500-nucleotide ribosomal RNA is filed under the name uncultured bacterium. RNAcentral's name for it is "partial 16S ribosomal RNA". It matches the Rfam family "Bacterial small subunit ribosomal RNA", at positions 30 to 523 of the family's 1533-position model. The record is from RNAcentral.
AUUGAACGCUGGCGGCAGGCUUAACACAUGCAAGUCGAGCGGAGUGAUGGUGCUUGCACUAUCACUUAGCGGCGGACGGGUGAGUAAUGCUUAGGAAUCUGCCUAUUAGUGGGGGACAACAUCUCGAAAGGGAUGCUAAUACCGCAUACGUCCUACGGGAGAAAGCAGGGGACCUUCGGGCCUUGCGCUAUCAGAUGAGCCUAGGUCGGAUUAGCUAGUUGGUGGGGUGAUGGCUCACCAAGGCGACGAUCCGUAACUGGUCUGAGAGGAUGAUCAGUCACACUGGAACUGGGACACGGUCCAGACUCCUACGGGAGGCAGCAGUGGGGAAGAUUGGACAAUGGGCGAAAGCCUGAUCCAGCCAUGCCGCGUGUGUGAAGAAGGUCUUCGGAUUGUAAAGCACUUUAAGUUGGGAGGAAGGGCAGUAAGCUAAUACCUUGCUGUUUUGACGUUACCGGCAGAAUAAGCACCGGCUAACUCUGUGCCAGCCGCCGCAGUAA